GACGAACGCUGGCGGCGUGCUUAACACAUGCAAGUCGAACGGAAAGGCCCUGCUUGUGUGGGGUGCUCGAGUGGCGAACGGGUGAGUAACACGUGAGUAACCUGCCCUUGACUUUGGGAUAACUUCAGGAAACUGGGGCUAAUACCGGAUAGGAGCUCCUGCGGCAUGGUGGGGGUUGGAAAGUUUCGGCGGUUGGGGAUGGACUCGCGGCUUAUCAGCUUGUUGGUGGGGUAGUGGCUUACCAAGGCUUUGACGGGUAGCCGGCCUGAGAGGGUGACCGGCCACAUUGGGACUGAGCUACGGCCCAGACUCCUACGGGAGGCAGCAGUGGGGAAUAUUGCACAAUGGGCGGAAGCCUGAUGCAGCAACGCCGCGUGCGGUAUGACGGCCUUCGGGUUGUAAACCGCUUUCGCCUGUGACGAAGCGUGAGUGACGGUAAUGGGUAAAGAAGCACCGGCUAACUACGUG
This 468-nucleotide ribosomal RNA is filed under the name uncultured bacterium. RNAcentral's name for it is "partial 16S ribosomal RNA". It matches the Rfam family "Bacterial small subunit ribosomal RNA", at positions 28 to 507 of the family's 1533-position model. The record is from RNAcentral.